AGCGUACACGGUGGAUGCCCUGGCAGUCAGAGGCGAUGAAGGACGUGCUAAUCUGCGAAAAGCGUCGGUAAGGUGAUAUGAACCGUUAUAGCCGGCGAUGUCCGAAUGGGGAAACCCAGUGCAAUUCGUUGCACUAUCGUUUGAUGAAUACAUAGUCAAACGAGGCGAACCGGGGGAACUGAAACAUCUAAGUACCCCGAGGAAAAGAAAUCAACCGAGAUUCCCCCAGUAGCGGCGAGCGAACGGGGAGCAGCCCGGAGUCUGAAUCAGCUUGUGUGUUAGUGGAAGCGUCUGGAAAGUCGCAGGGUACAGGGUGAUACUCCCGUACACUAAAACACACAGGCUGUGAACUCGAAGAGUAGGGCGGGACACGUGGUAUCCUGUCUGAAUAUGGGGGGACCAUCCUCCAAGGCUAAAUACUCCUGACUGACCGAUAGUGAACCAGUACCGUGAGGGAAAGGCGAAAAGAACCCCGGCGAGGGGAGUGAAAAAGAACCUGAAACCGUGUACGUACAAGCAGUAGGAGCCUCUUUAUGGGGUGACUGCGUACCUUUUGUAUAAUGGGUCAGCGACUUAUAUUCUGUAGCAAGGUUAACCGUAUAGGGGAGCCGCAGGGAAACCGAGUCUUAACUGGGCGUUAAGUUGCAGGGUAUAGACCCGAAACCCGGUGAUCUAGCCAUGGGCAGGUUGAAGGUUGGGUAACACUAACUGGAGGACCGAACCGACUAAUGUUGAAAAAUUAGCGGAUGACUUGUGGCUGGGGGUGAAAGGCCAAUCAAACCGGGAGAUAGCUGGUUCUCCCCGAAAGCUAUUUAGGUAGCGCCUCGUGAACUCAUCUUCGGGGGUAGAGCACUGUUUCGGCUAGGGGGUCAUCCCGACUUACCAACCCGAUGCAAACUACGAAUACCGAAGAAUGUUAUCACGGGAGACACACGGCGGGUGCUAACGUCCGUCGUGAAGAGGGAAACAACCCAGACCGCCAGCUAAGGUCCCAAAGUCAUGGUUAAGUGGGAAACGAUGUGGGAAGGCCCAGACAGCCAGGAUGUUGGCUUAGAAGCAGCCAUCAUUUAAAGAAAGCGUAAUAGCUCACUGGUCGAGUCGGCCUGCGCGGAAGAUGUAACGGGGCUAAACCAUGCACCGAAGCUGCGGCAGCGACACUAUGUGUUGUUGGGUAGGGGAGCGUUCUGUAAGCCGUUGAAGGUGGCCUGUGAGGGUUGCUGGAGGUAUCAGAAGUGCGAAUGCUGACAUAAGUAACGAUAAUGCGGGUGAAAAACCCGCACGCCGGAAGACCAAGGGUUCCUGUCCAACGUUAAUCGGGGCAGGGUGAGUCGACCCCUAAGGCGAGGCCGAAAGGCGUAGUCGAUGGGAAACAGGUUAAUAUUCCUGUACUCGGUGUUACUGCGAAGGGGGGACGGAGAAGGCUAUGUUGGCCGGGCGACGGUUGUCCCGGUUUAAGCAUGUAGGCGGAUGUUCCAGGUAAAUCCGGAACGUUAUUAACGCUGAGGUGUGAUGACGAGGCACUACGGUGCUGAAGUGACAAAUGCCCUGCUUCCAGGAAAAGCCUCUAAGCAUCAGGUAACAUCAAAUCGUACCCCAAACCGACACAGGUGGUCAGGUAGAGAAUACCAAGGCGCUUGAGAGAACUCGGGUGAAGGAACUAGGCAAAAUGGUGCCGUAACUUCGGGAGAAGGCACGCUGAUAUGUAGGUGAAGUGGUUUACCCAUGGAGCUGAAAUCAGUCGAAGAUACCAGCUGGCUGCAACUGUUUAUUAAAAACACAGCACUGUGCAAACACGAAAGUGGACGUAUACGGUGUGACGCCUGCCCGGUGCCGGAAGGUUAAUUGAUGGGGUUAUCCGUAAGGAGAAGCUCUUGAUCGAAGCCCCGGUAAACGGCGGCCGUAACUAUAACGGUCCUAAGGUAGCGAAAUUCCUUGUCGGGUAAGUUCCGACCUGCACGAAUGGCGUAAUGAUGGCCAGGCUGUCUCCACCCGAGACUCAGUGAAAUUGAACUCGCUGUGAAGAUGCAGUGUACCCGCGGCAAGACGGAAAGACCCCGUGAACCUUUACUAUAGCUUGACACUGAACACUGGUCCUUGAUGUGUAGGAUAGGUGGGAGGCUUUGAAGUGUGGACGCCAGUCUGCAUGGAGCCAUCCUUGAAAUACCACCCUUUAAUGGCUGGUGUUCUAACGUGGGCCCCUAAUCGGGGUUGCGGACAGUGUCUGGUGGGUAGUUUGACUGGGGCGGUCUCCUCCUAAAGAGUAACGGAGGAGCACGAAGGUCAGCUAAUCCUGGUCGGACAUCAGGAGGUUAGUGCAAUGGCAUAAGCUGGCUUGACUGCGAGCGUGACGGCGCGAGCAGGUGCGAAAGCAGGUCAUAGUGAUCCGGUGGUUCUGAAUGGAAGGGCCAUCGCUCAACGGAUAAAAGGUACUCCGGGGAUAACAGGCUGAUACCGCCCAAGAGUUCAUAUCGACGGCGGUGUUUGGCACCUCGAUGUCGGCUCAUCACAUCCUGGGGCUGAAGUAGGUCCCAAGGGUAUGGCUGUUCGCCAUUUAAAGUGGUACGCGAGCUGGGUUUAGAACGUCGUGAGACAGUUCGGUCCCUAUCUGCCGUGGGCGCUGGAGAAUUGAGGGGGGCUGCUCCUAGUACGAGAGGACCGGAGUGGACGCAUCACUGGUGUUCGGGUUGUCAUGCCAAUGGCAUUGCCCGGUAGCUAAAUGCGGAAGAGAUAAGUGCUGAAAGCAUCUAAGCACGAAACUUGCCCCGAGAUGAGUUCUCCCUGACUCCUUGA
This 2790-nucleotide ribosomal RNA is filed under the name Klebsiella grimontii. Its description in RNAcentral is "bacterial LSU rRNA". It matches the Rfam family "Bacterial large subunit ribosomal RNA". The record is from RNAcentral. Lineage: Bacteria; Pseudomonadati; Pseudomonadota; Gammaproteobacteria; Enterobacterales; Enterobacteriaceae.